This 480-nucleotide ribosomal RNA is filed under the name uncultured bacterium. RNAcentral's name for it is "partial 16S ribosomal RNA". It matches the Rfam family "Bacterial small subunit ribosomal RNA", at positions 28 to 507 of the family's 1533-position model. The record is from RNAcentral.
GACGAACGCUGGCGGCGUGCUUAACACAUGCCAGUCGAACGAUGAAGAAAAGAAUCGAAGCUUCGGCAGAAAUUCAUUUCGGAUUAGUGGCAGACGGGUGAGUAACGCGUGAGCAACCUACCUCUUACAAAGGGAUAGCCUCGGGAAACCGGGAUUAAUACCAUAUAACAUUGUGACGAAGCAUUUCGAUGCAAUCAAAGCUACGGCGGUAAGAGAUGGGCUCGCGUCCCAUUAACCGGAUGGUGAGGUAACGGCUCACCAUAGUGACGAUGGGUAACCGGCCUGAGAGGGUGAACGGUCACACUGGAACUGAGACACGGUACAGACUCCUACGGGAGGCAGCAGUGGGGAAUAUUGCACAAUGGAGGGAACGCAGAUGCAGCGACGCCGCGUGAGUGAUGAAGGAAUUCGUUUCGUAAAACUCUGUUCUAUGGGAAGAAAAGGACUGUACCAUAGGAGAAAGCUCCGGCUAAAUACGUG